RNAcentral lists this ribosomal RNA (253 nucleotides) under uncultured bacterium. RNAcentral's name for it is "partial 16S ribosomal RNA". It matches the Rfam family "Bacterial small subunit ribosomal RNA", at positions 524 to 776 of the family's 1533-position model. The record is from RNAcentral.
UACGUAGGGGGCAAGCGUUGUCCGGAUUCAUUGGGCGUAAAGAGCGUGUAGGCGGCCAGGUAGGUCGGUUGUGAAAACUGGAGGCUCAACCUUCAGAGGUCGACCGAAACCAUCUGGCUAGAGUCCGGGAGAGGAGUGUGGAAUUCCUGGUGUAGCGGUGAAAUGCGCAGAUAUCAGGAAGAACACCCGUGGCGAAAGCGGCUCUCUGGAACGGUACUGACGCUGAGACGCGAAAGCGUGGGGAGCGAACAGG